RNAcentral lists this small RNA (752 nucleotides) under Pongo abelii (Sumatran orangutan). RNAcentral describes it as "retained intron". The record is from RNAcentral. Lineage: Eukaryota; Metazoa; Chordata; Mammalia; Primates; Hominidae.
UUUUUCAGCUUGGCAUUAAGGUUUCUUUUUCAGUGGCUGCCAAAUGUUUGGUGAUGAAGGCAGAAAUGAAUGGCUCAAAACUUGGGAGAAGAGCAAAACCUGAAGGGGCCCUCCAGAACAAUGAUGGGCUUUAUGAUCCUGACUGCGAUGAAAGCGGGCUCUUUAAGGCCAAGCAGUGCAACGGCACCUCCACGUGCUGGUGUGUGAACACUGCUGGGGUCAGAAGAACAGACAAGGACACUGAAAUAACCUGCUCUGAGCGAGUGAGAACCUACUGGAUCAUCAUUGAACUAAAACACAAAGCAAGAGAAAAACCUUAUGAUGGUAAAAGUUUGCGGACUGCACUUCAGAAGGAGAUCACAACGCGUUAUCAACUGGAUCCAAAAUUUAUCACAAAUAUUUUGUAUGAGAAUAAUGUUAUCACUAUUGAUCUGGUUCAAAAUUCUACUCAAAAAACUCAGAAUGAUGUGGACAUAGCUGAUGUGGCUUAUUAUUUUGAAAAAGAUGUUAAAGGUGAAUCCUUGUUUCAUUCUAAGAAAAUGGACCUGACAGUAAAUGGGGAACAACUGGAUCUGGAUCCUGGUCAAACUUUAAUUUAUUAUGUUGAUGAAAAAGCACCUGAAUUCUCAAUGCAGGGUCUAAAAGCUGGUGUUAUUGCUGUUAUUGUGGUUGUGGUGAUAGCAAUUGUUGCUGGAAUUGUUGUGCUGGUUAUUUCCAGAAAGAAGAGAAUGGCAAAGUAUGAGAAGGCUGAG